UUUAUGGAGAGUUUGAUCCUGGCUCAGGAUGAACGCUGGCGGCGUGCCUAAUACAUGCAAGUCGAGCGAACGGACGAGAAGCUUGCUUCUCUGAUGUUAGCGGCGGACGGGUGAGUAACACGUGGAUAACCUACCUAUAAGACUGGGAUAACUUCGGGAAACCGGAGCUAAUACCGGAUAAUAUUUUGAACCGCAUGGUUCAAAAGUGAAAGACGGUCUUGCUGUCACUUAUAGAUGGAUCCGCGCUGCAUUAGCUAGUUGGUAAGGUAACGGCUUACCAAGGCAACGAUGCAUAGCCGACCUGAGAGGGUGAUCGGCCACACUGGAACUGAGACACGGUCCAGACUCCUACGGGAGGCAGCAGUAGGGAAUCUUCCGCAAUGGGCGAAAGCCUGACGGAGCAACGCCGCGUGAGUGAUGAAGGUCUUCGGAUCGUAAAACUCUGUUAUUAGGGAAGAACAUAUGUGUAAGUAACUGUGCACAUCUUGACGGUACCUAAUCAGAAAGCCAUGGCUAACUACGUGCCAGCAGCCGCGGUAAUACGUAGGUGGCAAGCGUUAUCCGGAAUUAUUGGGCGUAAAGCGCGCGUAGGCGGUUUUUUAAGUCUGAUGUGAAAGCCCACGGCUCAACCGUGGAGGGUCAUUGGAAACUGGAAAACUUGAGUGCAGAAGAGGAAAGUGGAAUUCCAUGUGUAGCGGUGAAAUGCGCAGAGAUAUGGAGGAACACCAGUGGCGAAGGCGACUUUCUGGUCUGUAACUGACGCUGAUGUGCGAAAGCGUGGGGAUCAAACAGGAUUAGAUACCCUGGUAGUCCACGCCGUAAACGAUGAGUGCUAAGUGUUAGGGGGUUUCCGCCCCUUAGUGCUGCAGCUAACGCAUUAAGCACUCCGCCUGGGGAGUACGACCGCAAGGUUGAAACUCAAAGGAAUUGACGGGGACCCGCACAAGCGGUGGAGCAUGUGGUUUAAUUCGAAGCAACGCGAAGAACCUUACCAAAUCUUGACAUCCUUUGACAACUCUAGAGAUAGAGCCUUCCCCUUCGGGGGACAAAGUGACAGGUGGUGCAUGGUUGUCGUCAGCUCGUGUCGUGAGAUGUUGGGUUAAGUCCCGCAACGAGCGCAACCCUUAAGCUUAGUUGCCAUCAUUAAGUUGGGCACUCUAAGUUGACUGCCGGUGACAAACCGGAGGAAGGUGGGGAUGACGUCAAAUCAUCAUGCCCCUUAUGAUUUGGGCUACACACGUGCUACAAUGGACAAUACAAAGGGCAGCGAAACCGCGAGGUCAAGCAAAUCCCAUAAAGUUGUUCUCAGUUCGGAUUGUAGUCUGCAACUCGACUACAUGAAGCUGGAAUCGCUAGUAAUCGUAGAUCAGCAUGCUACGGUGAAUACGUUCCCGGGUCUUGUACACACCGCCCGUCACACCACGAGAGUUUGUAACACCCGAAGCCGGUGGAGUAACCUUUUAGGAGCUAGCCGUCGAAGGUGGGACAAAUGAUUGGGGUGAAGUCGUAACAAGGUAGCCGUAUCGGAAGGUGCGGCUGGAUCACCUCCUUU
RNAcentral lists this ribosomal RNA (1552 nucleotides) under Staphylococcus aureus. Its description in RNAcentral is "16S ribosomal RNA". It matches the Rfam family "Bacterial small subunit ribosomal RNA". Lineage: Bacteria; Bacillati; Bacillota; Bacilli; Caryophanales; Staphylococcaceae. The record is from RNAcentral.